Molecule: long non-coding RNA, 2451 nt
Organism: Corvus hawaiiensis (hawaiian crow)
Lineage: Eukaryota; Metazoa; Chordata; Aves; Passeriformes; Corvidae
Exons: 2
Source: RefSeq, a predicted model, not a curated record
UCCCUCUCUCCUCUCUUUUCUUUCUCUCUCCCCACUCCCUCCUCUCUCUCAUUCCACACCCGCAGGUGAAUGUACAAGUGCUGCCGCAGCAGGAGAAGCCCGAGGUGAGUAUGAUUUUCCAUCCUUUCGCUGCGUUUUAGCCUGGGGGAGCCCUGCCCGCCCUUCACUCCCCAGAAAGUAAAGUUCGUUCUUUCUUUCUCCUGCCAGCUGUUUGCGUGACUACAUGUUCAACAGGCGCCUUCCCCUCGGGGACAAUAAGCCCGAGGGACUGAUUUUUAAGGAGGAGGAGGCUGCCGGGCUGGUAACUGUAUAUUAACCCCGGAGCUUUUGUUUUAGCAUCAGGCACCCGGGUUUGACGUCACCUUCGCUGGUUGCGGGAGGAGGUAGCACUUCGGUGGGAAAUAACUCCGUCUCCUUUCCCCAGGGCUCUCGCCUCUCUUUCCCACGAGGGAUCUCCAUCCUCCUCGGCACUUUCUAAAGUUCUUUUUCACAUGCGUCCGUAAGUCCUUCCCCGUAGCGGGAACUGUCUGCCGGUCGUAGGGGCCUCCUCCCUCCGCUUCAGCAUCCCCACCUGCGCUCCCACGCCGCGAGACCUGUUCCAGGUGCCUCCCCGGGUGGGUGCCCCGGGCGAGCUGAGGGCCCCGAGACGGGAGGAGAGAAAGCCCUGGCUCUGCUCGAAGCGUGCCGGCCCUGCCUGCCGCUUCCCCGCGGCUGGACACCGCGCAGGGCCGCGGGGCAGCCCCGCUGCAGGACGCGCAGCGCUCGCUGAUGCUGCGAUGGCUCUUCCCCUUGGUCGCUCUCAUUCCGUGGUUGCGAAAAGCACAGAUCCUGAGGCCUCCAAAUUUUCAUUAUUUUUAUUGCACUUACAUCCGUCUUCCUUUCUUUUUUUUUUUUUUUUUUUUUUUUUGGUAACGAAAUGAGCGAUUUCCUACCCGAUUUUCUGCGGGUGCAGCUGCCACCCACUCCUCGUGAUUUAGGUGUUAUAACACCUUUAUUUAAUACGGCCGCCAAGUCAAAAUAUCCGAUUUAAUUUUAUUUGCAACCACUAAUUUUAUUCUCCGGAGAGUAUUACUCUAAUCAUCUGAUUUAAUUGGGAUUUCGUAGAACUCGAUCAGACCUAAUAAGAAACAUUUAAAGUAUUGCUUUAUGUUGGUUUAACAGGGAGAAAAUAUUCUCCCUUCUACCUGGCAGUUUUUUGGAGGGGUUGCGAUGGGUUUUUUUCUGCAAAUACCGUCCCUUUCCCCCUCGAGGCAGCCCGCCACCACCAACAGCACAGGACACGGGUUAUGCCGAUUUCCUCCGUUCUGUUGUCUUUCAGCUUUGACUUAAAUUAAAGGGCUGGGUUAUCCUUUCCGUUUAAGGCGGUUUAAAACUAUUUUGGAAACAGGCAUGGGGAAAAAAACCACCAAACAAACCAAAAAAACCCCAAACAACAAAAACCCCCGAGAGUGGGUCAGUAAUCAGCCUGUGAAAUGCGGUGGUUUCUGUUCGGAGCCUCAUGCUUCCAGUAACAUGACAAACGGCGGUGUUGAAGUUGGGACACACAACGCGUAGCAUCUCUAUCCCGAGGCUGUUUCCGUGGGCUCCUGCAGCACGGCCCCACUCGCUGAGAUAGGCGGAGUUGGGGUGCAGUGUCCCAGAGCUGGGCACGUAAACGCCCGGUGCCUGUUUCUGCUGUUCGUCCAAAGUCAGCAGAGGACACCCCUUGGUCCAAAACACUUAGCCAUGUGCUCGUUUUAAAUGUUACACUCAACUUCAAUCCGACAUCGUAAUAGCGGUGUUUUAUUAAAUAAAAAAUCUAAAAUUGCAAGGAUGUGUAAUUACAAGGAUGUAACUCCAGGAUUCAGCAAGUUCUGAGGACGUUUGUCCAAAUCUCCCCCAAUUUCAGGGGCGUUUGACGGGUACCCACGCCGCGCUCCUCUCCGGCCACCCCCAGGGCAGGCAGCAGCCCCGGCAGGCGCCUGGAGGCGGCGGGGGCUGGAGGCGAAGCCGCCGCUCCCGGAAAGCGCCGCUCUUCGCCGGGAUCGCUCCUGACCCGGAGCCGAGGCCUCUCGUCGGGCUCGGCACCCUGCUCCGGGCUCAGGCAGACUCUGCCUUUCCGCUUUCCAGGAGGGAAGUGGCUGGAGGGGCUGCUUCCAACCGGGACCCAACUAUUCCUGUGUUGCUGUCCUCUUACGAGAAGGUGCGCACAUUUCACAGAUUUAUUCAAACAAACCACCCCUUGAGCUGUGAGUUCGCCCGGAUCAGCAGAGGCGCGGCCAGGACUUGCCACGGGCUCGGAGCUCUCUCCAGCUGUGUCCCGGCCUGCUAGAGCCCUGUGUGUGUGUGAGUAUGGACGGGAGGCAGCGGGGAGGUGGAUGUUGCUCUCCCCCCACCCCUCCCUUCUUCCUCCCCUCUCUCCUGCUGCAAUUCAUUUCUGUUUGACGAGGCACAAUAAAAUCUUCAUGUACA